This 242-nucleotide ribosomal RNA is filed under the name uncultured Actinomycetales bacterium. Its description in RNAcentral is "partial 16S ribosomal RNA". It matches the Rfam family "Bacterial small subunit ribosomal RNA", at positions 89 to 334 of the family's 1533-position model. The record is from RNAcentral. Lineage: Bacteria; Bacillati; Actinomycetota; Actinomycetes; Actinomycetales.
ACUCGAGUGGCGAACGGGUGAGUAACACGUGGGUGAUCUGCCCUGCACUUCGGGAUAAGCCUGGGAAACUGGGUCUAAUACCGGAUAGGAGCCAUUUUUAGUGUGAUGGUUGGAAAGUUUUUUCGGUGUAGGAUGAGCUCGCGGCCUAUCAGCUCGUUGGUGGGGUAAUGGCCUACCAAGGCGGCGACGGGUAGCCGGCCUGAGAGGGUGGACGGCCACAUUGGGACUGAGAUACGGCCCAG